RNAcentral lists this ribosomal RNA (200 nucleotides) under uncultured bacterium. RNAcentral's name for it is "partial 16S ribosomal RNA". It matches the Rfam family "Bacterial small subunit ribosomal RNA", at positions 328 to 539 of the family's 1533-position model. The record is from RNAcentral.
ACGCUCGACACCUACGGGAGGCAGCAGUGGGGAAUAUUGGGCAAUGGGCGCAAGCCUGACCCAGCAACGCCGCGUGAAGGAAGAAGGCUUUCGGGUUGUAAACUUCUUUUGUCAGGGAACAGUAGAAGAGGGUACCUGACGAAUAAGCUCCGGCUAACUACGUGUCAGCAGCCGCGGUAAUCUGAGCGGGCUGGCAAGGC